RNAcentral lists this transfer RNA (78 nucleotides) under Nitrospirales bacterium. RNAcentral's name for it is "tRNA-Asp". It matches the Rfam family "tRNA". From Rfam's summary of the family: Transfer RNA (tRNA) molecules are approximately 80 nucleotides in length. Their secondary structure includes four short double-helical elements and three loops (D, anti-codon, and T loops). Lineage: Bacteria; Pseudomonadati; Nitrospirota; Nitrospiria; Nitrospirales. The record is from RNAcentral.
GGGGUCGUAGUUCAGCCUGGUUAGAACGCCUGCCUGUCACGCAGGAGGUCGCGAGUUCGAGUCUCGUCGACCCCGCCA